RNAcentral lists this ribosomal RNA (843 nucleotides) under Streptococcus sp. HGH0346. RNAcentral's name for it is "bacterial SSU rRNA". It matches the Rfam family "Bacterial small subunit ribosomal RNA", at positions 60 to 878 of the family's 1533-position model. The record is from RNAcentral. Lineage: Bacteria; Bacillati; Bacillota; Bacilli; Lactobacillales; Streptococcaceae.
AGUAGGACGCCAGUUUAUACCGUAGCUUGCUACACCAUAGACUGUGAGUUGCGAACGGGUGAGUAACGCGUAGGUAACCUGCCUAUUAGAGGGGGAUAACUAUUGGAAACGAUAGCUAAUACCGCAUAACAGUAUGUAACACAUGUUAGAUGCUUGAAAGAUGCAAUUGCAUCGCUAGUAGAUGGACCUGCGUUGUAUUAGCUAGUAGGUAGGGUAAUGGCCUACCUAGGCGACGAUACAUAGCCGACCUGAGAGGGUGAUCGGCCACACUGGGACUGAGACACGGCCCAGACUCCUACGGGAGGCAGCAGUAGGGAAUCUUCGGCAAUGGGGGGAACCCUGACCGAGCAACGCCGCGUGAGUGAAGAAGGUUUUCGGAUCGUAAAGCUCUGUUGUUAAGGAAGAACGAGUGUGAGAAUGGAAAGUUCAUACUGUGACGGUACUUAACCAGAAAGGGACGGCUAACUACGUGCCAGCAGCCGCGGUAAUACGUAGGUCCCGAGCGUUGUCCGGAUUUAUUGGGCGUAAAGCGAGCGCAGGCGGUUAGAAAAGUCUGAAGUGAAAGGCAGUGGCUCAACCAUUGUAGGCUUUGGAAACUGUUUAACUUGAGUGCAGAAGGGGAGAGUGGAAUUCCAUGUGUAGCGGUGAAAUGCGUAGAUAUAUGGAGGAACACCGGUGGCGAAAGCGGCUCUCUGGUCUGUAACUGACGCUGAGGCUCGAAAGCGUGGGGAGCGAACAGGAUUAGAUACCCUGGUAGUCCACGCCCGUAACGAUGAGUGCUAGGUGUUUGGUCCUUUCCGGGACUCAGUGCCGCAGCUAACGCAUUAAGCACUCCGCCUGGGG